CCUACGGGAGGCAGCAGUGAGGAAUAUUGGUCAAUGGGCUUACGCCUGAACCAGCCAAGUCGCGUGAGGGAAGACUGCCCUAUGGGUUGUAAACCUCUUUUGUCAGGGAGCAAAGGGCGCCACGUGUGGCGCUUUGCGAGUACCUGAAGAAAAAGCAUCGGCUAACUCCGUGCCAGCAGCCGCGGUAAUACGGAGGAUGCGAGCGUUAUCCGGAUUUAUUGGGUUUAAAGGGUGCGCAGGCGGAAUGUCAAGUCAGCGGUAAAAUUUCGGGGCUCAACCCCGUCGUGCCGUUGAAACUGGCGUUC
Molecule: ribosomal RNA, 305 nt
Filed under: uncultured bacterium
Lineage: Bacteria
Description: bacterial SSU rRNA
Rfam family: Bacterial small subunit ribosomal RNA
Source: RNAcentral